RNAcentral lists this small nuclear RNA (274 nucleotides) under Podarcis lilfordi (Lilford's wall lizard). RNAcentral describes it as "7SK RNA". It matches the Rfam family "7SK RNA". From Rfam's summary of the family: 7SK was discovered as an abundant small nuclear RNA in the mid-70s but a possible function has only recently been suggested. Lineage: Eukaryota; Metazoa; Chordata; Lepidosauria; Squamata; Lacertidae. The record is from Rfam by way of RNAcentral.
GGGUGAUCCGACUGAGACAUCUGUCACCCCAUUGCCAGGGCUCAUCUGGCUGGCCUGGCUGGCUACGCAGGUGUCCCCCUGUUUCAUGUGUGUCCCUCCCUAAGCUGCAUGUUCAGUGGAAGAAGACGAUCAUCCCAGGUAGAAAGAGUGUACCGUUCUUCGGUCAAGGCUUGAUGAUAGCUGCGCUCCCUGUAUAGAUAGAACCUCCCUGAUAGCACCUCCUCUGUAAUGCAGGAAUCUCAGCUAAAUAAUUUCAGCUACAUAGUUUGUGAGA